UUCGCCAUGGUGGGGCAUCAAGUUAGCCGGCCAAAAUUAAUUUUACUGUGAAAGGACUUGGAUAAUAUGCUUAAUCGAUGCAGAAUCACUUGGUGGUCACAAAUCGACAAGUUACAACCCUUGAUUCAACGGCCAAAUGAAAAAAAUGUCGAGGUGAGAUGUGAAAAGAAAGCGAGCGUUUACAGAUGCUGAACCUAGAUGUCGCACUGAGCAUUUUCAUCGAUAAUUUUCACGAUUGGCACGAUUACCGAAUUUCCAAGUGAGGUUGUCAACUAAUAGGGAGAUGGCGAUACCCGAAUGCGAGUAAUGAGAAAACAAAUCUGCGAGGAUCUGCACUUGACACAAGCUCGUCACUGUCAUGGUGUAAAAGGUGCGCACAGCUCUCUAUUGAUGUUUAAAGAUAAAAACACCGAAUGCAAUGAUGCCCCGCCGCAAUGAUGAACUCUUGAGAGACUCCUUGAAAAAAAGGUGACAAAACAUGAGUUCGGUGGUAUCCCUUCCAAAAGAACACGAGGAGUUCUUUUAACAAUAAAACAUAAAUUAGGAAAAAAAAUUAGAUUAAUGGAAUUCAAUUCGCUCGAGUAACAAAAAAAAUAAUUAAAAAAACAUGUGCGACAAGCGAAAAGCUUGUAACGAUGGAAAUGUAAAAAACGUAUAACGUGUAUGCAAUUCAAUAAUAAUAAAAAAACCUUCAACUUAUGGUGUCUUACAAGGAAAA
This 718-nucleotide long non-coding RNA is filed under the name Venturia canescens. RNAcentral describes it as "uncharacterized LOC122406081, transcript variant X10". The record is from RNAcentral. Lineage: Eukaryota; Metazoa; Arthropoda; Insecta; Hymenoptera; Ichneumonidae.